AAUAGUUUUAUGCCACAUCAGUACUCUUAUCCUGAAUUUCAGGAUUUUAUCCUGGAAAAAAUCAAAUCCAAAUUAAAAUACAAAAAUUCAGGAUAAAAUCAUGAAAUUCAGAAUAAGAAUACUGAUGUGGCAUAAAACUAUU
This is a non-coding RNA of Gossypium arboreum, 142 nucleotides long. The record is from Rfam. Lineage: Eukaryota; Viridiplantae; Streptophyta; Magnoliopsida; Malvales; Malvaceae.